UUUCCUACGGGGGGCAGCAGUGGGGGAUAUUGGACAAUGGGGGGAACCCUGAUCCAGCGACGCCGCGUGAGUGAAGAAGUAUUUCGGAAUGUAAAGCUCUGUCAGCAGGGAAGAAAGAAAUGACGGUACCUGACCAAGAAGCCCCGGCUAACUACGUGCCAGCAGCCGCGGUAAUACGUAGGGGGCAAGCGUUAUCCGGAAUUACUGGGAGUAAAGGGAGCGUAGACGGUUAAGUAAGUCUGGAGUGAAAGGCCGGGGCUCAACCCCGGGACGGCUCUGGCAACUAUUUAACUGGAGUGCAGGAG
Molecule: ribosomal RNA, 305 nt
Filed under: uncultured bacterium
Lineage: Bacteria
Description: bacterial SSU rRNA
Rfam family: Bacterial small subunit ribosomal RNA
Source: RNAcentral